GUGGGGAAUAUUGGACAAUGGGGGGAACCCUGAUCCAGCCAUGCCGCGUGUGUGAAGAAGGCCUUUUGGUUGUAAAGCACUUUAAGCGAGGAGGAGGCUACCGAGAUUAAUACUCUUGGAUAGUGGACGUUACUCGCAGAAUAAGCACCGGCUAACUCUGUGCCAGCAGCCGCGGUAAUACAGAGGGUGCAAGCGUUAAUCGGAUUUACUGGGCGUAAAGCGCGCGUAGGUGGCCAAUUAAGUCAAAUGUGAAAUGCCCGAGCUUAACUUGGGAAUUGCAUUCGAUACUGGUUGGCUAGAGUAUGGGAGAGGAUGGUAGAAUUCCAGGUGUAGCGGUGAAAUGCGUAGAGAUCUGGAGGAAUACCGAUGGCGAAGGCAGCCAUCUGGCCUAAUACUGACACUGAGGUGCGAAAGCAUGGGGAGCAAACAGGAUUAGAAACCCCGGUAGUCC
Molecule: ribosomal RNA, 451 nt
Filed under: uncultured bacterium
Lineage: Bacteria
Description: bacterial SSU rRNA
Rfam family: Bacterial small subunit ribosomal RNA
Source: RNAcentral